GUGGUUGUGGCUCAGUGGUAGAGCACUUAUCUCACAUGUAUGAGGCACUGGGUUUUAUAUUCAGCACCACA
Molecule: non-coding RNA, 71 nt
Organism: Ictidomys tridecemlineatus (thirteen-lined ground squirrel)
Lineage: Eukaryota; Metazoa; Chordata; Mammalia; Rodentia; Sciuridae
Source: Rfam